UCCUACGGGGGGCAGCAGUGAGGAAUAUUGGUCAAUGGCCGCAGGGCUGAACCAGCCAAGUCGCGUGAGGGAUGACGGUCCUAUGGAUUGUAAACCUCUUUUGUCAGGGAGCAAAGGGCGCCACGUGUGGCGUUUUGCGAGUACCUGAAGAAAAAGCAUCGGCUAACUCCGUGCCAGCAGCCGCGGUAAUACGGAGGAUGCGAGCGUUAUCCGGAUUUAUUGGGUUUAAAGGGUGCGCAGGCGGAAUGUCAAGUCAGCGGUAAAAUUUCGGGGCUCAACCCCUUCCCGCCAUUGAAACUGGCGUU
Molecule: ribosomal RNA, 305 nt
Filed under: uncultured bacterium
Lineage: Bacteria
Description: bacterial SSU rRNA
Rfam family: Bacterial small subunit ribosomal RNA
Source: RNAcentral